Molecule: ribosomal RNA, 488 nt
Filed under: uncultured bacterium
Lineage: Bacteria
Description: partial 16S ribosomal RNA
Rfam family: Bacterial small subunit ribosomal RNA
Source: RNAcentral
GGCGAACGCUGGCGGCGUGCUUAACACAUGCAAGUCGAACGGAAAGGCCCCCACCUUGGUGGGGGUGCUCGAGUGGCGAACGGGUGAGUAACACGUGGGUGAUCUGCCCUGUACUUCGGGAUAAGCUUGGGAAACUGGGUCUAAUACCGGAUAGGACCAUGGUUUAGUGUCUCAUGGUGGAAAAAUUAUUGUUUUGGUGCAGGAUGAGCUCGCGGCCUAUCAGCUUGUUGGUGGGGUAAUGGCCUACCAAGGCGUCGACGGGUAGCCGGCCUGAGAGGGUGGACGGCCACAUUGGGACUGAGAUACGGCCCAGACUCCUACGGGAGGCAGCAGUGGGGAAUAUUGCACAAUGGGCGCAAGCCUGAUGCAGCGACGCCGCGUGGGGGAUGACGGCCUUCGGGUUGUAAACUCCUUUCGUUAGGGACGAAGCCACACCUUUUUUGGGUGUGGUGACGGUACCUUUGUUAAGAAGCACCGGCUAACUACGU